This 402-nucleotide ribosomal RNA is filed under the name uncultured eukaryote. Its description in RNAcentral is "SSU rRNA". It matches the Rfam family "Eukaryotic small subunit ribosomal RNA", at positions 587 to 972 of the family's 1831-position model. The record is from RNAcentral.
AGCUCCAAUAGCGUAUAUUAAAGUUGUUGCAGUUAAAAAGCUCGUAGUUGGAUCUCGGGUGCAGGCGGGCGGUCCGGCUCGCGCCGGUUCACUGCCCGUAUCUCCUGCCCUACUGUUUGCUGCCGGCUCUCUCCCGCGGGUGCUCUUCGCUGAGCGUCCCGGGUGGCCGGCGCGUUUACUUUGAAAAAAUUAGAGUGUUCAAAGCAGGCCUCGGCUGCCUGAAUAAUGGUGCAUGGAAUAAUGGAAUAGGACCUGGGUUCUAUUUUGUUGGUUUUCUCCUCGGAACUGCAGGUAAUGAUUAAAAGGGACAAACGGGGGCAUUCGUAUUGCGGCGUUAGAGGUGAAAUUCUUGGAUCGCCGCAAGACGAGCUACUGCGAAAGCAUUUGUCAAGAAUGUUUUCA